AUUAUACUUCCUCCGUACGAAAAUACUUGUCCUAAAAAUGUAUAAAAUGAAUGUAUCUGUAACUAAAAUAAGUUUAGAUACAUCUAUUUUUAGGAUAAGUAUUUUCGAACGAAGGGAGUAUGAA
This is a non-coding RNA of Hordeum vulgare subsp. vulgare (domesticated barley), 124 nucleotides long. Lineage: Eukaryota; Viridiplantae; Streptophyta; Magnoliopsida; Poales; Poaceae. The record is from Rfam.